RNAcentral lists this small RNA (119 nucleotides) under Gemella sanguinis. RNAcentral describes it as "Ribosomal protein L10 leader". It matches the Rfam family "Ribosomal protein L10 leader", at positions 11 to 134 of the family's 138-position model. From Rfam's summary of the family: This family is a putative r-protein leader autoregulatory structure found in B. subtilis and other low-GC Gram-positive bacteria. Lineage: Bacteria; Bacillati; Bacillota; Bacilli; Caryophanales; Gemellaceae. The record is from RNAcentral.
GAAAAUGUACCGUAGACAGUAGGGGGAGAAAUCCUUAAUUAGCCUACCGAGGACAAAAUUCGAAAAGAAACUUAUGUGCCUUUUUGUAUGUUCUCGCAUGCAAAAAGGUUUUUUUAUUG